AUGGGAUGGAGCUGCAUCAUUUUCUUCCUAUUGUCAGUAAUUACAGGUGUCCACUCCCAGGUCCAGCUGGAGCAGUCUGGUCCUGAACUCGGGAAACCUGGGGCCUCAGUGAAGCUGUCCUGCAGGGCUUCAGGCUACACUUUCACUGACUACUAUAUUAACUGGGUGAAGCAGAGGCCUGGACAGGGCCUGGAGUGGAUUGGAAGUAUUGAUCCUGAAAAUGAUGUUACUGGCUACAAUCAGAAGUUCCAGGGCAAGGCCACACUGACUGCAGACACAUCCUCCAGCACAGAUACAUGGAGCUCAGCAGCCUGA
Non-coding RNA from Cricetulus griseus (Chinese hamster), 315 nucleotides. The record is from the annotation of a RefSeq genome assembly. NCBI's taxonomy places the organism in Eukaryota, Metazoa, Chordata, Mammalia, Rodentia, Cricetidae.